GACGAACGCUGGCGGCGUGCCUAACACAUGCAAGUCGAACGGGUUUUGCACUUAGCACUUAAUGUUCUUAGGAGGAAGCCUGGAUAGUUGGCCGCAGCAUUAACUGCGAACAAAGUUCGCACAACGCUUAUUAGGAGAGCCAACCCAAGAAGCAGAGCGCUUCCAGGUGCCGAGUGGUAAAGCAAGGAGUUAUGGCGUUGCGAACUUUGUCGCACAACGCCAAACAAAAAAGCCAACACAUGCAAGGGGAAGAACAUUAAGUGCUGAGUGCAAAACUAGUGGCGGACGGGUGAGUAACGCGUGGGCAACCUACCCAUAAGAGGGGGAUAACAGCUGGAAACGGCUGCUAAUACCGCAUAAGCUUAGCUGGACGCAUGUUGGUUAAGUAAGGAGGCUUAGGCUUCCGCUUAUGGAUGGGCCGGUCUGAUUAGCUAGUGGUAGGUAACGGCUACAGGCGACGUCAGUAGCCGGCCUGAGAGGGUGUACGGCACACUGGGA
Molecule: ribosomal RNA, 498 nt
Filed under: uncultured bacterium
Lineage: Bacteria
Description: bacterial SSU rRNA
Rfam family: Bacterial small subunit ribosomal RNA
Source: RNAcentral